Molecule: long non-coding RNA, 223 nt
Filed under: Elaeis guineensis (African oil palm)
Lineage: Eukaryota; Viridiplantae; Streptophyta; Magnoliopsida; Arecales; Arecaceae
Description: long non-coding RNA (EGUI_LNC058655)
Source: RNAcentral
CGGUGCCUUGACUGCUCACAAUAAAGUUGCUAUAGUUUGACUAUAUAUAAACAUAGUCUCUAGCCAUAUGGAUCCUUGUAGUGGAUGUUGGCUGUAGUGGAUUCACUGUAGGAGUAGGAGUACACUUAUAGAGAUCUAUCAAUCUUAGUACUUGAAGAGUAGUCCUAUGUGACCUAAGAGACUGAGUCCAUAAGUUUGUGACCACAAUAGUGUGAUUAUAGAA